AGCCUCUUCCCAGACAGGCAGAUAGGAACUUCCAGGAUGCUGGCAGCCCGCACAGGCGCUGCAGGGAGUCAGAUCUCCGAAGACAACAGCAAGUUCAGAAAGCAGUCUGGCCUUUCUUCAGGGGGGAAAGACAAAUCUCCCAAGAAAGCCCCCGAGAAUGCCAAAGACAGCAGCCUCAGCCCAACCGGGCAAAGCCAGCUCAGGGCAAGGCAGCUGGCCCUGCUGCGGGAGGUGGAGAUGACCUGGUACCUAAAGCUCUGCGAGCUGUCGAGCGAGCACACCACGGCACACACCACCGGGAUGCCGCACAGCCUCUCCCAGAUCUUGAUUCUGAUGCUUCACUGAGCAGUUGCCCCUCUCAAGCCUUCAAGCCAAGGCACUUUUAUCAUCCCCACAUUCUACACCUAGCUGGAUUGCUCAGACACCAUGACCAGACAGCAGUGACUCACAGCAAAACACAGGCCGAAUGACAGAGAUGGAAGCCAGAUUCUGCGCACGGGAAGAGGUAGCAGCGCAGAUUCUGUCUACGAGCAUGGUUAAUGGGUCGUAUUUUAGUCUGGACUCUGACUGAGGAGCAGAAGUUCAGCGGCAAAAAAGAAGGAAUGAUUAUUUCAACAAAGAGAACAGCAAGAACAAAAAGGGAACGCAGAUAUGGUGAGAGUGGUGAGGCCAGGGAGACGGGCAGUCACGUGACAGGAGACAAGGCUCCAGGCAUUCCAUUUGUCAAGUGACUCAGCUUUUUAAGCUUCUGCCAUUUCAUCUGAAAUAGUGGUAGUAUUUUCUACCUCUAAAGGCAUCUUAGUUAAACGAGAUGUUGCGUGUUAUGUGAAUAAGACAACACCUGUACAAGAAAGCCAUAAAUAAAUAAAACAACGGACCUCAUGAUACAGGUGAAGGGGGUGGUAAAUGGGGAGGGAGCACACAUUUUGCUCAUGUUCGUUUUAGCUGUUUACGUUAAAAUAUGUUUUUAAAAAGAAACUACUAGGCCUAUCCAGAAUUGGAAAGAAAGAAAAGAGAUGAGGGUCUCCAAACUGAGCCACACCACAUGGGAUUAUGAGGUUCAUAUAGAGACCUCCAAGGAGACUUCAUGAAAAGCAGCAACAGUCACGCAGAGGCCAAGGUUCAAUUAUUACAUACUAGUUGUCCUGAAGGGUUCACCCCUUAAGUCCAUCCCAUGCCUCUGUCUCCUGCCACCCUUUGCUAGUCUCAUCUCUCUGUCCUCCUUGGUGGCUGCUCACUCUUCUCCAGCUCUUCAUUCUCCUGUGGGACAUGGGACAUUCUACUAGCCCAGCCCUAGCCUCUUCUCUGCACCUUUUAGUAUUUUGUCCCCUCUGGCCCCCAGCUCAGCACUUUCUAGCUGUUAUUUCAACCUAUUCUAUUUUUCAAUCCAUGAGACAGUUUUUCUUAACGUGCAUAUCCCUCUGUGAUAGAGCAGAGGACAUGUUCCAUCUCAGUGAAUGCUUGUGUCUAGACUGUAAUAGCCAUUGGUAACAGUGGUAAGGUCUUAUCUUAGGAAGGGUUGAGGACAGUUUUCAAAAUAAAUAGCAAGACUUGUGAUUAAGUGUUCAUCUGCACAAAUUAAAAAUGGUUGCCACAGCAGCACCUGGAAGACAGUGAAGCCAGAGGCAUUUUCUUAUUCUUAACCCCUCUUCUCCACAGCUGAAGAGGCUCUAUCGCUUAGGGUGAGAACGCCUACCUAUAAAUCAAAUGGCCAAAGUGUAAGACUGACUCUAGACUCCUCAGUCUCUACUCUGAAAAGUCAAUAGGCCUUGGAAUCAUUAGUUAGAUGCUCAUGAAACAACCCACCAUGCCCCCCUCAAAUAGGAGUAAUGAAUAUGGUAGGUUUUAAGAAGACAGUACUAUACAAAUAUACAAUUUUUAAGAGAUUGAAUUUGGCUUAUACUAGGGAAGAAACAAACUAGAAAUAAACACUCUAUUUUUAUUAGCUUUACUACCUCUCCAAGAAUCUUCUAGAAGAAAGCUAAAUGUCACUGAAGAAGCUAGAAUAAGACAUGUUGUUUUUGCCAUGUACUAAAAUGGGCCCCUAAGGGUGCAGUCUAUUUUCAAAGGUAGGUUCCAGAACUGGCAGAGGAAGUUGAGA
Molecule: long non-coding RNA, 2101 nt
Filed under: Mus pahari (shrew mouse)
Lineage: Eukaryota; Metazoa; Chordata; Mammalia; Rodentia; Muridae
Description: lncRNA (MGP_PahariEiJ_G0033086.1)
Source: RNAcentral